Molecule: ribosomal RNA, 497 nt
Filed under: uncultured bacterium
Lineage: Bacteria
Description: partial 16S ribosomal RNA
Rfam family: Bacterial small subunit ribosomal RNA
Source: RNAcentral
GAUGAACGCUGGCGGCGUGCCUAAUACAUGCAAGUCGAGCGAACAGACGAGGAGCUUGCGCCUCUGACGUUAGCGGCGGACGGGUGAGUAACACGUGGAUAACCUACCUAUAAGACUGGGAUAACUUCGGGAAACCGGAGCUAAUACCGGAUAAUAUAUUGAACCGCAUGGUUCAAUAGUUAAAGACGGUUUUGCUGUCACUUAUAGCUGGAUCCGCGCCGCAUUAGCUAGUUGGUAAGGUAACGGCUUACCAAGGCAACGAUGCGUAGCCGACCUGAGAGGGUGAUCGGCCACACUGGAACUGAGACACGGUCCAGACUCCUACGGGAGGCAGCAGUAGGGAAUCUUCCGCAAUGGGCGAAAGCUUGACGGAGCAACGCCGCGUGAGUGAUGAAGGUCUUCGGAUCGUAAAACUCUGUUAUUAGGGAAGAACAAAUGUGUAAGUAACUAUGCACGUCUUGACGGUACCUAAUCAGAAAGCCACGGCUAACUACGUG